Molecule: small nuclear RNA, 109 nt
Organism: Talpa occidentalis (Iberian mole)
Lineage: Eukaryota; Metazoa; Chordata; Mammalia; Eulipotyphla; Talpidae
Source: RefSeq, a predicted model, not a curated record
GUGCUCGCUUCAGCGGCACAUAUACUAAAAUUGGAACAAUACAGAGAGGAUUAGCAUGGUCCCUGCGCAAUUUUUCUCAGUAUUCAAAAAAGAUAAACACAUGCAAUUU